Molecule: ribosomal RNA, 906 nt
Filed under: Escherichia coli
Lineage: Bacteria; Pseudomonadati; Pseudomonadota; Gammaproteobacteria; Enterobacterales; Enterobacteriaceae
Description: partial 23S ribosomal RNA
Rfam family: Bacterial large subunit ribosomal RNA
Source: RNAcentral
GCCCCGGUAAACGGCGGCCGUAACUAUAACGGUCCUAAGGUAGCGAAAUUCCUUGUCGGGUAAGUUCCGACCUGCACGAAUGGCGUAAUGAUGGCCAGGCUGUCUCCACCCGAGACUCAGUGAAAUUGAACUCGCUGUGAAGAUGCAGUGUACCCGCGGCAAGACGGAAAGACCCCGUGAACCUUUACUAUAGCUUGACACUGAACAUUGAGCCUUGAUGUGUAGGAUAGGUGGGAGGCUUUGAAGUGUGGACGCCAGUCUGCAUGGAGCCGACCUUGAAAUACCACCCUUUAAUGUUUGAUGUUCUAACGUUGGCCCGUAAUCCGGGUUGCGGACAGUGUCUGGUGGGUAGUUUGACUGGGGCGGUCUCCUCCUAAAGAGUAACGGAGGAGCACGAAGGUUGGCUAAUCCUGGUCGGACAUCAGGAGGUUAGUGCAAUGGCAUAAGCCAGCUUGACUGCGAGCGUGACGGCGCGAGCAGGUGCGAAAGCAGGUCAUAGUGAUCCGGUGGUUCUGAAUGGAAGGGCCAUCGCUCAACGGAUAAAAGGUACUCCGGGGAUAACAGGCUGAUACCGCCCAAGAGUUCAUAUCGACGGCGGUGUUUGGCACCUCGAUGUCGGCUCAUCACAUCCUGGGGCUGAAGUAGGUCCCAAGGGUAUGGCUGUUCGCCAUUUAAAGUGGUACGCGAGCUGGGUUUAGAACGUCGUGAGACAGUUCGGUCCCUAUCUGCCGUGGGCGCUGGAGAACUGAGGGGGGCUGCUCCUAGUACGAGAGGACCGGAGUGGACGCAUCACUGGUGUUCGGGUUGUCAUGCCAAUGGCACUGCCCGGUAGCUAAAUGCGGAAGAGAUAAGUGCUGAAAGCAUCUAAGCACGAAACUUGCCCCGAGAUGAGUUCUCCCUGACUCC